Molecule: long non-coding RNA, 448 nt
Filed under: Vigna radiata
Lineage: Eukaryota; Viridiplantae; Streptophyta; Magnoliopsida; Fabales; Fabaceae
Description: long non-coding RNA (VRAD_LNC011670)
Source: RNAcentral
GGAAGAGUUUAUGUGUGACACCCGGGUACUGAUGAGGGCGGGAAGUGAUCGUCGGUGCAAGAGGCAUGGAGUGUAAGAGGCACAGACAAGGAGCGGCUCCUGACAGGCUUCCAGUGGAAGGGACACAUGGACAAAUCGAACAUACAUCGGAACGAGAGGGAUCUAGAGAUUGUAUAAGUUGUUUUUGCAGGGGGAUGCACGCUCAGGCAACACAUGCACAACCUAUUCGCGGCGCAAUGGUAAGAGUAGUGGGCAUCUCCGCGACGCAAUGGUUUCUCUCUUUGGCGACUUCGCGUCAAGGAUUUCGAUUGGGGUUUUGGGGCUUACCGUUCUCGUGUUUUUUAUCUCAAAUUUGAGGUUUUUCGACCAUCUCUUUUUGGGUUCUUGAUUUCUUCUCUAAAAGAAAGUUGAUGACACAAGUAGGAGUGCGCAAAUUGAACUGUACUGC